RNAcentral lists this unclassified non-coding RNA (325 nucleotides) under soil metagenome. RNAcentral describes it as "partial contains 5.8S ribosomal RNA, internal transcribed spacer 2, and large subunit ribosomal RNA". The stretch from base 1 to 120 matches the Rfam family "5.8S ribosomal RNA", at positions 35 to 154 of the family's 154-position model. The record is from RNAcentral.
GAUGAAGAACGUAGCGAAAUGCGAUAAUUAAUGUGAAUUGCAGAAUUUAGUGAAUCAUCGAAUCUUUGAACGCACAUUGCGCCCCUUGGUAUUCCGGGGGGCAUGCCUGUUCGAGCGUCAUUUCAACCCUCAAGCUCUGCUUGGUGUUGGGCCCUGCCCGCUCGCGGCCGGCCCUAAAGACAGUGGCGGUGCCGUCUGGCUCUAAGCGUAGUACAUCUCUCGCUCUGGUGCCCGGCGGUGUCCUGCCAGAACCCCCCAACUCUGUGGUUGACCUCGGAUCAGGUAGGGAUACCCGCUGAACUUAAGCAUAUCAAUAAGCGGAGGA